AUGUACUACGUCGAUCACCUAGCUACUCAUCGUCGGAGAUGUCAACGAUCUCUGUACCCGGCUCCGGCAGGAUUGGCGGCAGCUGCAGCUCUGGCUCCUCCGGCACCUUCGGCUGCUCCACUCAGGCCUCCUCCGCCUCUAUCUCCGUGUGGAGUUUGGCAAAGAGCGCAUCGAACGCCGCCUGCUCCCGCCGGAGGAACACCUGGUUGGCCUCCACUUAGACCUCAUCCUGGAAGAACUCCAGGAUGGCCUGCUGCUCCGCCAGCUCAUCAGAUUGCGCGAAGGCGAACUCCGCCUUCGCCUGCUCCAUGUUGA
This 315-nucleotide ribosomal RNA is filed under the name Triticum aestivum (bread wheat). Its description in RNAcentral is "partial small subunit ribosomal RNA". The record is from RNAcentral. Lineage: Eukaryota; Viridiplantae; Streptophyta; Magnoliopsida; Poales; Poaceae.